This is a long non-coding RNA of Perca fluviatilis (European perch), 352 nucleotides long. RefSeq lists it as uncharacterized. The record is from RefSeq and is a predicted model, not a curated record. Lineage: Eukaryota; Metazoa; Chordata; Actinopteri; Perciformes; Percidae. The transcript has 3 exons.
AGCAUCUCUGUAAAUUACAGCUAACGGCCUCCAGGUCCCAAUGCUUGACAUAACAUCAGCACAUGGCAGAGAAGGAUGAAACGAUGCCUGCCUAGCUUGGACUUGAAGCACUCCCUCCAGGACCAAGCAGGAAACCACAGGAAUGAUGUCCUGAGACUGGGUCUUCCUCUCAUCUGGGUCGUCUGAAAGUUCCUUAUGAGAGUCUUCAGAUUGGUAGCAGCUGUGUUUGUUGGCUGGGUCCAAGCUGUGGGAGGCUGCGGCAGGCCAGCGGGGAGGAGCUUCAACAUCUGGAAAAGAAGGAAAGCUGGCUGAAAUACAGAGACAAAGUCCUAGCAACAGGAAUACUCCCCGA